This 278-nucleotide long non-coding RNA is filed under the name Lathyrus oleraceus (garden pea). RNAcentral describes it as "Pisum sativum (pea) long non-coding RNA (PSAT_LNC029849)". The record is from RNAcentral. Lineage: Eukaryota; Viridiplantae; Streptophyta; Magnoliopsida; Fabales; Fabaceae.
UUUUGUUAUGGUUUGAUUCUUAAUUUUUCCCAUUUGAGUUUUGACCCAAUAUUUUACACACUUAUAGACAUUUGUAUUUAGGUCAUUUGGGUUUUAUUUUACGCUUGGGUAAUCAAUUUUGGAUUGUUUUUAAACCUAUUCUUGAGAGUUGUUUAGUGUGAUCAAUUAUUGAUGCAUUGCUUGAAUGAUGGUUUUGUUUGAGCACCUUUUGCACAUAACUUUGAGUACAUCUUUGGGACUUUUGAGCUUCUGAUUUCAUCUUGCUAUGCAUAUUUUUU